Molecule: ribosomal RNA, 443 nt
Filed under: uncultured bacterium
Lineage: Bacteria
Description: partial 16S ribosomal RNA
Rfam family: Bacterial small subunit ribosomal RNA
Source: RNAcentral
CCUACGGGUGGCAGCAGUGGGGAAUAUUGGGCAAUGGGCGCAAGCCUGACCCAGCAACGCCGCGUGAAGGAAGAAGGCUUUCGGGUUGUAAACUUCUUUUAUCAGGGACGAAGCAAGUGACGGUACCUGAUGAAUAAGCCACGGCUAACUACGGGCCAGCCGCCGCGUUAAUACGUAGGGGGCAAGCGUUAUCCGGAUGUACUGGGUGUAAGGGGCGUGUAGGCGGGAGGGCAAGUCAGCUGUGAAAACUAUGGGCUCAACCCAUAGCCUGCAGUUGAAACUGUACUUCUUGAGUGCUGGAGAGGUAAUCGGAAUUCCGGGUGUAGCGGUGAAAUGCGUAGAUAUAGGGAGGAACACCAGUGGCGAAGGCGGAUUGCUGGACAGUAACUGACGCUGAGGCGCGAAAGCGUGGGGAGCAAACAGGAUUAGAUACCCGAGUAGUC